RNAcentral lists this ribosomal RNA (429 nucleotides) under uncultured Bifidobacterium sp. Its description in RNAcentral is "bacterial SSU rRNA". It matches the Rfam family "Bacterial small subunit ribosomal RNA", at positions 196 to 640 of the family's 1533-position model. The record is from RNAcentral. Lineage: Bacteria; Bacillati; Actinomycetota; Actinomycetes; Bifidobacteriales; Bifidobacteriaceae.
UUCUGGGAAAGCUUUCGCGGUAUGGGAUGGGGUCGCGUCCUAUCAGCUUGACGGCGGGGUAACGGCCCACCGUGGCUUCGACGGGUAGCCGGCUUGAGAGGGCGACCGGCCACAUUGGGACUGAGAUACGGCCCAGACUCCUACGGGAGGCAGCAGUGGGGAAUAUUGCACAAUGGGCGCAAGCCUGAUGCAGCGACGCCGCGUGAGGGAUGGAGGCCUUCGGGUUGUAAACCUCUUUUAUCGGGGAGCAAGCGAGAGUGAGUUUACCCGUUGAAUAAGCACCGGCUAACUACGUGCCAGCAGCCGCGGUAAUACGUAGGGUGCAAGCGUUAUCCGGAAUUAUUGGGCGUAAAGGGCUCGUAGGCGGUUCGUCGCGUCCGGUGUGAAAGUCCAUCGCUUAACGGUGGAUCCGCGCCGGGUACGGGCGGG